CGCCACAGCCAUAUCACCCUGCAGCCCAAGAGCGGUUACUCACUAAGCUAUGCAGGGCUGAGCCUGGUCAAUAGCUGGAUGGGAGACCACACAGGAAAACUAGGUGGCUGUUGGAA
This is a ribosomal RNA of Danio rerio (zebrafish), 116 nucleotides long. The record is from Ensembl. Lineage: Eukaryota; Metazoa; Chordata; Actinopteri; Cypriniformes; Danionidae.